GGAGUGUGUUGACGUCCUCAUCAACCAGGAAGCCUCCAUCCUGGUUAAAGACUUCACUCUGAAGAGGACCCCCAUCCACGCUGCAGCAACCAACGGACAUUCGGAGUGUUUGCGUUUGCUGAUUGGAAAUGCUGACAUCCAGAAACCCCUCUGAUGCUGUCGGUGCUGAGCGGACACAGACUGUGUGUACUCCCUGUUCAACAAGGGAGCAAGCGUAGAAGCCAAAGACAAAUGGCACAGAACAGCUCUACACAGAAGGGUUGUGAGGAGAGUUGGCUGCGGUGACUUUUCACGAGGAGUGCAGCACAGUGCCAGCUUCCUGGUUCGGGAAGGUAAGGGGCGGAGCCAUGUCCACCUGGUGGCGGCGUCCGGACACAUCGGGAUACUGGGGUGGCUCCUACACACCGCCCAGUCAGUGUGGACCCUCCCCGUCAUCACAGACAACCAGGGCUACACGCCACUACACUUGGCCUGCUACAACGGUAUGUACUGGACAGAGGGACAGCGAAGUGGGCCAGAGGCCACAAACAAAUACACACAUAAACAUAGCGUGUCUUAAAUCACCACAGCCAGCUUCAGGAGGGCACGAACCGAGACAGUCCGCACAGGAACCUUAAGAGUCCCUCAGACAGAGAGAGAGAAGAGGGAGGGAUAGGGGGAGGCACAACAGGCCCACACUCAUCCUCUCAUACCACCAGGUUCCCUUCCAGCAGAUACUGCACUUCAGAGGAACUGCUGCUGCUAUACCCCAUCUUUACCUUUACCCACAAAGGUCCUAAACGGUAGAAAGUGUCCGGCCAACAGACAGACGCACACCUUAUGACGGCAAUAACCUGUAGUCCAAGGGGAUAGUAGCACUUCACUGAGAGCAAAACAGACAGGGACCAAAAGAUGUGGAAGAAGCAUUUUCAAAACCUGUUUUGACUGUAGAAAUUGGGCUGAGUGUUUGUGCUGAGAAAAGACAUAAGGAGUGAUGUUUCAUUUAAGUUUCAUGAGAGUGAUUGUCAUGUUUAUCCGCACACUAAGACAGUCAGAACGCACCUAGCCUCUUGUCUGUAAUCCAUGUGGGAGGAGGGGAAAUCAUACAUUCUGUAUGAACAAAUAUU
Molecule: long non-coding RNA, 1106 nt
Organism: Oncorhynchus kisutch (coho salmon)
Lineage: Eukaryota; Metazoa; Chordata; Actinopteri; Salmoniformes; Salmonidae
Exons: 4
Source: RefSeq, a predicted model, not a curated record